GACGAACGCUGGCGGCGUGCCUAAUACACGCAAGUUGAGCGCUGAAGGUUGGUACUUGUACCAACUGGAUGAGCAGCGAACGGGUGAGUAACGCGUGGGGAAUCUGCCUUUGAGCGGGGGACAACAUUUGGAAACGAAUGCUAAUACCGCAUAAAAACUUUAAACACAAGUUUUAAGUUUGAAAGAUGCAAUUGCAUCACUCAAAGAUGAUCCCGCGUUGUAUUAGCUAGUUGGUGAGGUAAAGGCUCACCAAGGCGAUGAUACAUAGCCGACCUGAGAGGGUGAUCGGCCACAUUGGGACUGGGACACGGCCCAAACUCCUACGGGAGGCAGCAGUAGGGAAUCUUCGGCAAUGGACGAAAGUCUGACCGAGCAACGCCGCGUGAGUGAAGAAGGUUUUCGGAUCGUAAAACUCUGUUGGUAGAGAAGAACGUUGGUGAGAGUGGAAAGCUCAUCAAGUGACGGUAACUACCCAGAAAGGGACGGCUAACUACGUG
Molecule: ribosomal RNA, 497 nt
Filed under: uncultured bacterium
Lineage: Bacteria
Description: partial 16S ribosomal RNA
Rfam family: Bacterial small subunit ribosomal RNA
Source: RNAcentral